This 693-nucleotide ribosomal RNA is filed under the name uncultured archaeon. Its description in RNAcentral is "bacterial SSU rRNA". It matches the Rfam family "Archaeal small subunit ribosomal RNA", at positions 235 to 929 of the family's 1478-position model. The record is from RNAcentral.
GGUGGUGUAAAGGACCACCAAGCCUACGACGGGUACGGGCCCUGAGAGGGGGAGCCCGGAGAUGGACUUUGAGACACGAGUCCAGGCCCUACGGGGCGCAGCAGGCGCGAAACCUUCGCAAUGCGCGAAAGCGCGACGAGGGGAGCCCGAGUGCCCUUCCUUUUGGGAGGGCUUUUCCGGAGUUUAAAAAGCUCCGGGAAUAAGGGCUGGGCAAGACGGGUGCCAGCCGCCGCGGUAAUACCCGCAGCUCGAGUGGUGGCCACUAUUAUUGAGCCUAAAGCGUCCGUAGCCGGACCCGUAAAUCCCUGGGUAAAUCCUGGCGCUCAAUGUCAGGAAUUCCGGGGAGACUGCGGGUUUUGGGACCGGGAGAGGCCGGAGGUACUCCCGGGGUAGGGGUAAAAUCCUGUAAUCCCGGGGGGACCACCUGUGGCGAAAGCGUCCGGCUUGAACGGCUCCGACGGUGAGGGACGAAGGCCAGGGGAGCAAACCGGAUUAGAUACCCGGGUAGUCCUGGCUGUAAACGCUGCCCGCUUGGUGUUGUCGGUCUCUCGGGGGCCGGCAGUGCCGGAGCGAAGGUGUUAAGCGGGCCGCUUGGGGAGUACGGCCGCAAGGCUGAAACUUAAAGGAAUUGGCGGGAGAGCACUGCAACGGGAGGAGCGUGCGGUUUAAUUGGAUUCAACGCCGGAAACCUUA